This 1446-nucleotide long non-coding RNA is filed under the name Marmota monax (woodchuck). Lineage: Eukaryota; Metazoa; Chordata; Mammalia; Rodentia; Sciuridae. The record is from RNAcentral.
CGGGGACGGGGCGCGCGGGGAGGGGGCGCGGGCCCGCGCGGCUCCCGCUCCCCACAGCCCGGGCCCCGGCGGGGGGCGCGGGGGAAGGGGCCGGGGGCCGCGGGCCGCGUGAGGGCGGGGCCGGGGGCGGGGCCGAGGGCGGAGACAGGAGGAGGGCGGGCCGGGAAGGGGCGGGGGCGGCCGGGGCAGACUGACACCCCCAGGACAUGGGGGCGGGGAAGGGGCCGUUCCCGCCGCGGAGAGAAAGCCGGGGCAGGGAGACGGGGUCGCCUGGGGCUGACGGUGGGUCCGCCCCGGCUCAGGGGUGGUCGGCCAGAGAGGGGUCCCGAGAGCCUGAGUUCCAAGUGGGAGCACGAGGAGCGGAGGGUGCGGGAGCCACCCGCCGGGAUCUCUGGGUCCCGGGUCGUCUGCGGGCGCAGAGACGCUAUGGGCAGUUGGGGGAGUGUCGAAGCCUGGGCAGGGUCCCCGAUUGCGCGACCCCUGGGUCCCGGCUGGUAGGAGAGGGGAGGAAGGAGGCUCUGAAUGAGCCUCGGAGUUGAUCACCACGAGCGCCCCGAGUGACUCCUGAGUCACCCCUCCCCCUCCAGUGCCAACGACGUACUAAGUGCUCACUGAGUCACUUCUCUCUCUGGUCCCCAGCGACUCACAAACCAAGGACUACGAAUCCAGUUGGCAACCAAGUGCUUUAGUGGCAAAAGGAGUUUCCCAACCAUCACAGGCUGCAAGCCCAGAAGUCUGGCCCUGGAGCCGCCACCCAAGCCCUUCUCCCUGUCCACCCGGAAGCCGGCCUUGCUGUCUGCACGGGGUCAGGUCCUGCAGGAACAAGGCUUACUGUGUGAAGACUUCUUCCCCAUCCUGGCUGAUCUGCCCGGUGACCUUGAGCCACCAGGCCUCCUCCCUGGCCCUGAGAUUCGCGCUCUGCUGGGUGAGGGUUUAGAUCCCUGCCUUCUCUGACUCAGUGUUUCCAACCCGUUCCCUCCUUUGUCCCCUUGCCCAGGUUUUGUGCUCAGCCGAGCCCAGUGGUGAGCACAUGGGAUGGGGUUGGCCUCUGGUGUGGGACUGAGCCUUCAGAGAAUCCAGUAGCUGAGCAAAUCCUCAGUUUGUGAGUCAGGACUUGGAGUGAAGGCUUUGCAUCUUGUUGGCUGUACUUUUAAUCCGUCCUAAUUUUUUAAAAAGUGGAUUAUAAAGAGAAUAGAUCCAGAGGAUGAGGCAAGACGCAGAAAGAGCAUCGGUGAGCAGUGACCUCGCCUCCACAGUGAUCCAAAGGUGAAUAGGGCUUGAUCUCACCAGCACAGUGCUUGGGGGCCAGGGGAGCCCCGUAUGGGUCAUGUGGUUACCCAACCUGCUUCCUUCAACUAGUAGAGAUUGUAAACUCCCAACCAGAGCCAGCCUCAGGAGUGGCCAGGCGCAUGGACAAGCAUGAGGCCUUCCCAAAAGGCUCAGCAC